GAUGAACGCUAGCGAUAGGCUUAACACAUGCAAGUCGAGGGGCAGCAUGGUCUUAGCUUGCUCAGCCUGAUGGCGACCGGCGCACGGGUGCGUAACGCGUAUGCAACUUGCCUCACAGAGGGGGAUAACCCGUCGCAAGACGGACUAAUACCGCGUACACUCUAUGUUGGGCAUCCAAUGUCGAGGAAAUGUAAUUCGCUGUGAGAUAGGAAUGCGUCUCAUUAGCUUGUUGGUGAGGUAACGGCUCACCAAGGCGACGAUGGGUAGGGGAACUGAGGGGUUGACACACAGGACUGGUACUGAGACACAGACCAGACUCGGAGGCGAGGCAGCAGAGAGGAAUAUUAGGCAAUGGACGAGGGCCUAGACCAGCCGAGUCGCGUGAAAGAUGACUGUCUUAUGGAUUGUAAACUUCUUUUAUACGGGAGUAGCAAGAGCAACGUGUGGCUCCCUGCAGGUACCGUAUGAAUAAGCAUCGGCUAACUACGUG
This 490-nucleotide ribosomal RNA is filed under the name uncultured bacterium. Its description in RNAcentral is "partial 16S ribosomal RNA". It matches the Rfam family "Bacterial small subunit ribosomal RNA", at positions 28 to 507 of the family's 1533-position model. The record is from RNAcentral.